UGGAGGACGCUGUGUGUAAGUUACUAUCUAUACUUUUGAGGACACUUAAUCGGGCUGAAAAAAAAGGGAACAUGAUGAAUCCUGAGGAUGUGCUAUGUAAGUUUCGUAACUAAGCUUUAAAGGGACACUUAACCAGACUGAAAAUACAUGAUAAAUACUGGCUGGUAAUCCUAAAGAUACUGUAUGUAAGACUGUUUUUCGAGAGCUGAG
Molecule: long non-coding RNA, 210 nt
Organism: Sander lucioperca (pikeperch)
Lineage: Eukaryota; Metazoa; Chordata; Actinopteri; Perciformes; Percidae
Exons: 3
Source: RefSeq, a predicted model, not a curated record